GUCCACGGCCACGCCACCCUGAACGCGCCUGAUCUCAUCUGAUCUCGGAAGCUAAGCAGGGUCGGGCCUGGUUAGUACUUGGAUGGGAGACCACCUAGGAAGACCGGGUGCUGUAGGUG
This 119-nucleotide ribosomal RNA is filed under the name Pteropus alecto (black flying fox). Lineage: Eukaryota; Metazoa; Chordata; Mammalia; Chiroptera; Pteropodidae. The record is from RNAcentral. RNAcentral also lists the same sequence under 1 other name.